UAUGCCUGCUCGACCGCCGCCGCCGCAGCCGCUCGUGCCGCCUCCCACUCCCUCGCCUCGAUCUCAUUCUCUACUUGCUCCUCCGUGGAAGUAGCGCCGCUGGCGGAGCAUGGUGCGAGCGCGCGGGAGAGGCGCUGCCGGUGGAGCGUUGUAGCUCCUCCUCUCCACACUCUUCUCCGCGCGCGCCCGCCGUCGCAUCUCACUCCGUCCCCUGCUCGUCUUCGUCUUGUUGAGCGGCUGGUCGAGCUCCAUCUCUUCGACCCUGGCCAAGCCCGAGCAACGGCAACACAUCGCCAAGGCAUCCUCCUUCGUCACGUUGCUGCCAUCGCCGUCGUGUUCUUCGGCCCAGACGCCGCAAGGAGGGCUCCUCAGUGCCAGCAAAUUAGGGGAGGUUGCCCUGCUUAGGAGGGGAUUAACCUUGUGGAGCGCAUCGACCUCGUCAGAGCGAUAGACAUACAGGUGGUUCUCUCCACGAUGCAUGCAAGGUGUUUGAUGAAAAUACAAGCAGACCAUAGGUGAAAUUAAUUAGUUUUUUUUCUUGAAUUUAGCGUCAAUAAGGAUGACUCCCAUCUGUGCAACUUGCAUGUUUGAUAUAUGACUUUCAUGUGCAAGCUACCACUAAUGAUAUGUAUGAGUAAAUUUCGAAGAAAAUAAUAUGUGCUUGACUGUUUGAGACACCCAUCAAAUAAUAUAUCUCUCCCUCGAAGCCCAUGUACAGCUUUCUCAGCUGUUUGAGAAGUACUAGAUAAUUUCAGUGUCUUUUUUGCUGAUCAAGAACAGGGUUGUUGUGUUGAUCAAGAGCAAGAGCAGGGUCCUUUAGGAUGCCAACAAAUUAUCUCUAGGCAACUUAUUACGAUGCAUCUGAUUUGCAUUCUUUGCCUAUAUCGUCUCUGUCAACAGCUCGAGCAUGGACGGCAAGACUUAAGGACGUGGUCUACACAUUAAUGCUUUGUCAAUUAUACGCGUGGAUGAGGUUUCCGACAACGAAACUGGUUGGGCAGAACACAUUGUUGUCGGCUCUUGGUGCGUGGAGUCCACUCUUCAGGUACCAAUGUUGCAGUAGGUAGGAUCACAAGCUAGGAUGAAGGAGCUAUGCAGAUAUCCAAUCAUAACAAGUACAUUUUUCCUGCACUGCAUGAUCAGUUGUCAAUUCCUACUUCUCUUAAAAGAUAUUACUUUGUUGGUCUUCAAAGCUAUAGGUGUGUAUUAUGAAAAUUGUUAAUGUGGCGUGAACCAGAAACCGCUAUGAAUUUCAAGCCUUUUCAUUAAUCUUCUUGACUUUUUGUUAAAACGGAAGUGAACUUGGUCCUAAACAUGCACUGGCUAUGAUACUAUCUCUUUUGUGUCAUGGAGAACUGGAAACCGCUAUGAAUUUCAAGCCUUUUCAUCAAUCUUCUUGACUUUUUGUUGAAACAGAAGUGAACUUGGUCCUAAACUUGGACCGGCUAUGGUAGUAUCUCUUUUGUGUGAUGGAGAACUGGAAACUGCUAUGAAUUUCAAGCCUUUUCAUCAAUCUUCUUGACAUUUUAUUGAAACCGAAGUCAACUUGGUCCUAAACUUGCAUGGGCUAUAUCAAUAUUUAUAUUUGAAUGUCUGCACCUUUUGACUAACUAAAAUAUUAUUUUGAUACUUUAUUUGUAUGUGCCCUCUAAAGCCAUCGAAUUUAAGUGUUUCGUAGAUCCUUUUCCGUCAAAUAUAUAUAUGGCCCAACGAGUCGAGCUUUGGUGUGUCUCGGUUGGACAACAUGGGCCUGUGAGGGAUCUGUGCUAACAUCCGGUCUGAAGUUUUUCAAGAAUUAUUAUUCCUAUGUGGUACCUUACACCUGGACAUAAAGUACCCUCAGGUUAUUUUUAUCCCCUUCUCUUCACGCCCUUGGCAAUGCCCACUUCAGUUGUGUAGAGUGGUGUUCUUUUAUUUCUGUAUAGUUUUCUACUGAGUUGCUUGAGCAACAGUUGCGUUCAUUUCCUUCUACAUGAUUAAUAACACUUGAUUUGUGAUAUUCCUGAGGGAAAGGUGUUAUAUUCUUCAUCCGCUACAAAACUGUUUUUUGUUGCUUGGGUCCAAGCUUAUGUGUCUGAUGGCCAGAUCGUAUGAUCUGAAGGUACUACACUCUUCAGUAAUUUUUUAACAUAGUUGGAGAUGAAGUUGAAAUGAUAUGCAUAUUGUCAUCCUACUGCCAAAUGAGUAGCUUUGAAUACGUUGACCCAAGAUGGUGCUCACAGAUGCGGUAUUGCACUGGUCAAUGGUGACAUUCCAGUUAAUGUAAAGAUCAACAACGUCUAGCGCCUACCAGCCGGUAACCUCUUGCCCUAGGUUCAAGGACAACCUACGGCUUGUCUGAUCGCAUCUCUGGAUAUGAACCACAUCUUCAAGGCAAAUGGUUUAGAGGUUAGGAAGUUUAAUGAUUGAAACUAUAGAUUAAUAGCUCAAAAUGCAAAGCCCCAUUCAGUUUGAGCGAAUAAAUAGUCUCUCAUGUAAAAAAUAUUGCUCUGGCAUGCUACAAUAUAGUAUAAUUUUAUUCAGGAUAUUCUGGAGAUGCAAUUUUAGAAAAUAGUUAAUUUCUCGUUUUUUUGUUCAUGGUGUUUCAUGAUUAGGAUGAGGUCAGUAGACAUGUGGAUUCCCAUGUGUUGUUGUCAAGAGGUAGUCAGCAUCAUUUACAGCUUGCAGUGUAUCUCCCAACUCGGAUAUAGCAUCCUGUGAGGUCAAGAUUUACUCAAAUGGUUUUACUUGGAGUUGGAGGAGGCAUUACUUCUAAGCAUCAUGUAAUCCAUCGCCCUUCGCCAUUUUAUAUUCCAUAAAGGUCACUGCUCAUGUGCCCACUGCCCACAAGUGCUGGUGAUGUUAAAAAGGUGGUCUAAAUAAAUGGAAAUCUUCCAUUUGGUUGGGCAGUGAGGUUGAGGUUAUACAGUGAGUAAAUGUAAGAAGCAUCGGCAAUAUUGCAGGUUAUUAAUUAAAAGUCCUACUAAAAUUCCUAACAACUAAAGAAAGCAGGCCUGCUUACCUUUAGCUGUACUAGCAAGUAUAAAUGCCAUGCACUUUCAGUUUGUGUAGAUCUAAUCCAUCUUCAGAGGCUUUUCCAUUUAUAAAAAAAGUUUCUCCUUAGAAAAAUUAGAGAAGGAAAAGAAAGGGGCACGUUCAACCGUGAUAAUGAUUGCUUACUGCUUGAUUCGUGUACAAAGGUCCGUGAUUCUAAGCUGAGCACACUACUCAGCAACUCAAGACAAAGGGUUUAUUGCUUUAUGCAUCCUGUAUAUUAUGAAGUUAAGAUUAUGUGCGUUGACAGAUAAUCGUGUCUCUGCCUUUUUCUUUUCAGGUGCUACAGUUGUAAUAUUAGUUUCAAAGAUCCACUUCAGUCCUGUUGUUAUCUUCAGCUACAGCCAUCAAAGGAAAGCUCUUGGCUUGCAUCGAACAGUGAUCUGUGAAACAUCAUAAAGAAAAAUUGGUUUCUGAAACGUUUGUCCUGCUUAAUCCCUGGUGCUAUGCAUUACUAAUGGGGCUUAUUUCAGGAUCUUAUCUAGUUUUACAAACUACUCAAACUGUAGUCAUGUUUUCCUAUGCCAUUUUCAUCUGGUGCAUAAAUGUUAUUGCCUAAAUAAAAUUCAUGGGCCUCUCAGUUUAGCAUGCGCUCACUCUAAUUAAGCAUGUUUAAGUAGUAUUAACCUUUCUGUCACUUAUUUGUAUGUUCUUAUAUUUUUAGUGCCAUCUCUGCAGUUUUGCGUAUGUGGAAAAAAAAGCAUAGACAUGCUGAAAAGCUGGUCUUAGAUAUCAAAAUUUAGUAACAUUGCUAUUAAAUAUUCUUGCAGAGUUGCUCAUUUUCUUGGUAUUUUUAGAAUAUGCUCAUAUGUAGUUACCAUACAUUAUGAUUCUUUUUUUUUUUGCAUGAUACGGGAAGUACAUACAGUGUUAAAAUGUCAUGUCCCGUUCUUUGCAGUUCUAUAAAUGGCUGUUCUUUUUCGGUGCUGGAGUGUUGGACAUUACUAAUGGUUGCCAUACUCUUAGUGAUGUUGUGUACAUUAGCAACUACUGUAGGUUGUUGAGAAGGAAAGGGAUGAUCAACUUGCAUUGAAAUUGAAGAAUAAGUUGAACAUUUCUGUCGAAGGAAACAACAAGGAAUCUAUCUAAUUUGCUGAGGUUAGGCGCAUAGACUUUCUAAUGAAGGUCCCCAUCCAUGCCAAUCAUUUCACCAGUCUCUGAAGUACUUAAUUUUUUCAGCUGCUUACUGUUUUGAGUAUGUUUUCUUAGAAAAUAGUGUCUACUUCUGUAUGUCUUCUGUACUAUUACUCCAUUCCACUCUAGAGCUGUUUUACACUUUUGUCCUUUCUUAUAUCAAUUAAACUUGGAGACUCCAAAGAAGCCGUGGCGGUGCAGGGGGUUGGGGAGGUGGUUCCGGUGGCGGAUGAAUCUUUGGUGGGCUGAUCAGUACGCUAGCGGAGUGUUUGUACAUGAAUAUGGGUGUAUAGAUGCCCCUAAAUCACAGCGGAGUACAUACAAAUAAUAUGUGAUACUGGUGGUGCUUGCCUUAGAAAUAGAUGGCAACAUGCUACGGUCUUCUAUUUUGUAAAGAACUCAUAUUUGAUUUGAUAUGACUACGAAUAUUGUAGUGUUACUUUUGUUUGGUUGUGCGGCUAUUGGCCGUGUGUAGCCAGCUUUUUUGUAGGCUCAUACCUAGGCUAGGAGACUGACAUUUGUAAAUUCUGGGCCUGGUGGCAUUAUCUAAUUAUUCGUAUGAAUGUUUUAGACGUCUGAAUGCUAUGGUUCCUUUUGUUCUUGAAAUACCAAAAAACUAUCCAACGGAAACCAUAUCCUUCAUUUAGGAUCACCUGGUCUCCUUUAUAUUGGGAAGUAGAACCCAGCAGUUUCAGUAUAUCUCCAUAUAUUCUAUACAUGUGAUUACCAGGUAGCUAAUUAUCUCACAACUUUUGUUUACUAAGUUUACGUUUUUAUAGUUAACAGCUUUUUCAUGUGAGUUGUCGUUGAGCCGCAUAUACUUGAAAAAAAUCUACAACUGAGGUACAUUGUCCAAUUUUUUUGUACUCUGUAUUAAACAUGAAUUGAUCUUCAACUCGUAACAUUUAUUUCAGCUGUCUCACUUUUCAGUGCCAAUUAGUUUAUCUUCUCAUUUACAGCGGUGUUUUCUUUUAGUGGUGUGAACAUCUAUUAUGGCCACGUUUCCUUUGUGUCGUAGCCUUUGAAGACCAUGUUGCCACAUUGUCCAUAGGCAGAUUAUGUAAAUGUUGUCUCUCCCUACUUCUAUUACUCUUCAUAGAACAUUCCCGUAUUUCCCUGAUUGUAUAUAAGCUUUUGUUGCUCUCUGUCCACUAUUGUCACUCUCUUGUUGUGCUGGUGGUGUGAGUGUAGUGAUGUCAGAGAAGGCAAACCGGGAAGAUCAAGUGAGGAUCUUGCAUGGACAGUCCAAUACCAACACAAGGAGUCCUGGAUGCUUUGCAAGGAGGAGAACAAAAGUGCAGUGGCUGUGACAAAGAAAUAGCAGCCGCCUGUAGAGGAAUAGAUCAAAAUCAACGUCUAUGGUUGCUUGGGGGCAGUACUGCAAGUUAUCACCGAACGAAUCAAAGUUUUCAUUAGAUCUAUUUUUUGUGACUUUAAGAUCGACCUCUCUUCUGUGGGAGUUAGCAUUGAAUGAAGCAAAGUUUUCAUUAGAUAUAAUUUUUGUGACUUUAUGAUUCUGUAGUGCCCCAGAACUUGUAAUCGGGUAGCUCAUGAGCUGACAGCAAAAGGUGCACAAAUGGCUGGAGAGCCUGACUUUCUGUCC
Long non-coding RNA from Lolium perenne, 5770 nucleotides. RefSeq lists it as uncharacterized. Lineage: Eukaryota; Viridiplantae; Streptophyta; Magnoliopsida; Poales; Poaceae. The record is from RefSeq and is a predicted model, not a curated record.